UACAGGGGGGGCAAGCGUUGUUCGGAAUUACUGGGCGUAAAGGGUUCGUAGGUGGCCACUUAAGUCAGACGUGAAAUCCCUCAGCUUAACUGGGGAACUGCGUCUGAUACUGCGUGGCUUGAGUGCAGGAGAGGAAUGCGGAAUUCCAGGUGUAGCGGUGAAAUGCGCAGAUAUCAGGAGGAAUACCCAUAGCGAAGGCAGCUCGCUGGGACGGUACUGACGCUAAGGCGCGAAAGCGUGGGGAGCGAACAGG
This 253-nucleotide ribosomal RNA is filed under the name uncultured bacterium. RNAcentral describes it as "partial 16S ribosomal RNA". It matches the Rfam family "Bacterial small subunit ribosomal RNA", at positions 524 to 776 of the family's 1533-position model. The record is from RNAcentral.